Molecule: long non-coding RNA, 807 nt
Organism: Phyllostomus discolor (pale spear-nosed bat)
Lineage: Eukaryota; Metazoa; Chordata; Mammalia; Chiroptera; Phyllostomidae
Exons: 2
Source: RefSeq, a predicted model, not a curated record
UUUGAAACAAUUUUGUUAGAUUGUAGUGUCACACUGGCAUAUCAGUACGUUUUUUAAGAAACUUACCAACAUUGAAUUUUAGUGCAGCCAUGUUAACAAUGAAGAUAGAAGAAAAUAUACAACAUUCUCGGCAUAUAAUGCUUUAUUUCAAGAAAGGUAAAAACACAACAAAUGCAAAAAGAAAGAUUUGUGCAGUGUAUGGAGAGGGCUGUGACUGAUCAGAUGUGUCAUAAGUGGUUUGCAAAGUUUCUUGGUAUAUUUACGUAUUGAACAAAGAAUUCUUUGUUGUGCACUGUCUUAUGCAUUGGAAGAUGUUUAACAGCACUCCCAGCUUCUACCCACCAGAAGCCAAUAGCAGAAGAUAGCCGACAUACUCAAAAUAUCCAAAUCAAUAAAGUUACUGGUGAAAAUGAAAACCUUAUCCUUUAUUUUACAGAAAAAACUAAACAAACUCUGUGGCCAACCCAAUAUUACUAGUAGCUUUCAAAAAAAUGCAUUUAGUAAGCCCUUAAGACAAAUGCUCUAUGAGUUGUAAUUAUAACUGAGUUAAUUUUUUGAACAAAAGAUGUAGUCAUUUCCCACGAGCACAGAUAAUGGAGUUAAAUGAGAAAAUAAAAUUUGGUGUUUUGAAAAAAUGUUCAUUUCAUACCUAAUUUGGAGUUAAUCAUAUUUAAAAUGUCAAGUCUUAUUAUUAAGCUAAAAGACCUUCAUACAUUGGUAUAAAACUUGUUCUACUUUACAUUAUAUGAAAUAAUUUUUAAAGGGUAUCCUUAGUAGUAUUUUAACAUGUAGAUUGUUAGUACAUUU